RNAcentral lists this ribosomal RNA (394 nucleotides) under uncultured Clostridium sp. Its description in RNAcentral is "bacterial SSU rRNA". It matches the Rfam family "Bacterial small subunit ribosomal RNA", at positions 355 to 767 of the family's 1533-position model. Lineage: Bacteria; Bacillati; Bacillota; Clostridia; Eubacteriales; Clostridiaceae. The record is from RNAcentral.
UGGGGAAUAUUGCACAAUGGGCGAAAGCCUGGUGCAGCAACGCCGCGUGAGCGAUGAAGGCCUUCGGGUCGUAAAGCUCUGUCCUCAAGGAAGAUAAUGACGGUACUUGAGGAGGAAGCCCCGGCUAACUACGUGCCAGCAGCCGCGGUAAUACGUAGGGGGCUAGCGUUAUCCGGAUUUACUGGGCGUAAAGGGUGCGUAGGUGGUUUCUUAAGUCAGGAGUGAAAGGCUACGGCUCAACCGUAGUAAGCUCUUGAAACUGGGAAACUUGAGUGCAGGAGAGGAAAGUGGAAUUCCUAGUGUAGCGGUGAAAUGCGUAGAUAUUAGGAGGAACACCAGUAGCGAAGGCGGCUUUCUGGACUGUAACUGACACUGAGGCACGAAAGCGUGGGGA